This 220-nucleotide unclassified non-coding RNA is filed under the name soil metagenome. Its description in RNAcentral is "partial contains 5.8S ribosomal RNA, internal transcribed spacer 2, and large subunit ribosomal RNA". The record is from RNAcentral.
AACCAUAGAAACCUGCGGAGUACCUGCGGAAGGAUCAUUACAAGAAUCGAGGCUGACGGUGCCUACUCCCUAGGCUCCGUCCAGUCCCGCUCUCUACCUUGCCUACUGCACCGUUUGUUGCUUCCUGGCGGCGUCCCGUCGCCAGGGCCUCUUGAAAGCCAAGUAUAAGCAUUGAAACUUCUGACAUACACUAAAUCGUACAACUUUUAACAAUGGAUCU